GACGAACGCUGGCGGCGUGCUUAACACAUGCAAGUCGAACGGAAAGGCCCUGCUUUUGUGGGGUGCUCGAGUGGCGAAAGGGUGAGUAACACGUGAGUAACCUGCCCUUGACUUUGGGAUAACUUCAGGAAACUGGGGCUAAUACCGGAUAGGAGCUCCUGCUGCAUGGUGGGGGUUGGAAAGUUUCGGCGGUUGGGGAUGGACUCGCGGCUUAUCAGCUUGUUGGUGGGGUAGUGGCUUACCAAGGCUUUGACGGGUAGCCGGCCUGAGAGGGUGACCGGCCACAUUGGGACUGAGAUACGGCCCAGACUCCUACGGGAGGCAGCAGUGGGGAAUAUUGCACGAUGGGCGGAAGCCUGAUGCAGCAACGCCGCGUGCGGGAUGACUGCCUUCGGGUUGUAAACCGCUUUCGCCUGUGACGAAGCGUGAGUGACGGUAAUGGGUAAAGAAGCACCGGCUAACUACGUG
This 468-nucleotide ribosomal RNA is filed under the name uncultured bacterium. Its description in RNAcentral is "partial 16S ribosomal RNA". It matches the Rfam family "Bacterial small subunit ribosomal RNA", at positions 28 to 507 of the family's 1533-position model. The record is from RNAcentral.